This is a long non-coding RNA of Vespa crabro (European hornet), 1428 nucleotides long. RefSeq lists it as uncharacterized. The record is from RefSeq and is a predicted model, not a curated record. Lineage: Eukaryota; Metazoa; Arthropoda; Insecta; Hymenoptera; Vespidae. The transcript has 4 exons.
UCACCUAUUCUAUACCAACCGAAACUCAUUGAUAUGUUAUAACCAAUGCAAGCUUAUACAAUUAUUGGACAGACGCAUGGUGGGAACAGUCAUCACCACUUUCAUUUGUAGUUGAUAUUUUGUUCAUAGUUGUCGCCGCAGUCAGGCACGUUGUGAAAGGUGAGAUAGAUUUUUAAGAAUUGGCCAACCGUUGAAAUUAUUUCAUUUAAGAAUGAAAGAUGUUGACGUCGAUCCAGAAAUGUAUCAUUAUGCACUGGAUUAUUACUAUACUAAGGAAAUGAACGCAAUAAAGGAAUAUUUCAUUGUGUAAUAGAUUGGACUGGCUUUCAAUUGGUUAUUACUAGACCCUCAACGAGAAUGUUGCCACGAUAAGAUCAUGCUUCAACAUCGUUCCAUCCUCCAUGAUUACUGGAUUUUUAUUGGAUAAGAACGGAUGUUAUUUGUAUAAAAAUAGGAAAGAAAAACAUCUUAGAAAUCAAGAAUAUCAUUCGAUAAUAUGUAUUCGUCAGUUAGUCGAUGGUUUCUCAUCCGAAAGAUUCAUUAUGCACGUAAAGAUUGAGAAAGACAAGAGAACUAUUCAAGAGAUCAUCUGAAGGGAUAUCGAAGAAUAUAGCUGCAGUAAAUAUGUAUAGAUGAAAGAGAGUAAAUUUAUCUAUCGAAUCUGCUAGUCUAAUAACAGUCGUGAAGGAGGAGAAAAGUAGUUUAUUACAAAUAAUACUUAAGAAGAAUGGAGACUGAAAAUUUUGUGGAAACCAAUGAACGAUCGUUGAUGAAAGAAGAAUAAGAUGCGGACCACGUUUUUGUAUUAAUCUUGCUAUAGCAAUCUAUCUUCACACGUACGUUUAUCUAUUCAAUGGUCGAAUUUAGCGAUAGACGCUUUGGUAAGUAAAUGUAUCGUUGAAUAGUAUAAAUAUGAGGAUGCCUGAAAAACAAAAUAAUCAUCUUAGGGAUCCGUCAAUUAAAGUUUUUGUACUUCCAGUUUCCAAGCUUUUUAUGAAAAAGAACAAAAAAUCCAGAUGCUAAAGCAUCAUCGAAGAUUCUAGAGAGUGAUAUUUAUAAUAACGAUAGUAAGAAGCGUAAACCAAAGCAGUGGCUUAUUUGAGAUUUUUAUUUGGCGAUAAUUUGAACGGUUGGAACGAAUAAGUGAUUAAAUUUAUUGCAAUACUGAUUUCAGAUUUUUCAUUAACUAAAUACUUAUUAUAUUAUGAACAAAAGCUCGAUCACUGAAUCUAAUGUUUAUAGCAUUAAAUGGCGAGACAAUUUUCAUUAGCGAACUGGAUAUUUUUUUUUCGAAGGAUAUGCCGAUUGUUUAUUUCGACAAAAUUUACGUGUAGUCGAGUUAAAAGAAGAAAACGGAUAGAUGAUUACCGGAUUGUAUUCUCGAAUGUCUGAAGGAGGAAUGAAUUAAAGAGUCAGCUGAAUCAAUUA